AUGGUGGUAACGGGUGACGG
Molecule: unclassified non-coding RNA, 20 nt
Filed under: Chlamydomonas reinhardtii
Lineage: Eukaryota; Viridiplantae; Chlorophyta; Chlorophyceae; Chlamydomonadales; Chlamydomonadaceae
Description: small RNA Cre_0783
Source: RNAcentral